Molecule: long non-coding RNA, 745 nt
Organism: Heterocephalus glaber (naked mole-rat)
Lineage: Eukaryota; Metazoa; Chordata; Mammalia; Rodentia; Bathyergidae
Source: Ensembl
CAAAGGUUCAAGUAGGCAGAAAGGAAUAAAAAUUUGCUCGAGUCAGUCUUCUGCAAGAUUGGACAAGAGAGAUCAUUAUGGAAAGAGAUCAUUAGAGCAUUUUCUCUCAUAGACUAAUUUUUCUGUGCAUAUGCCCUGGAAUUGUUAACUCAAAGUGUGGAUUCCUCCUGGUUCACCUGGAAGUCUUCUCUUUUUCCAAUACCUGACUUUGCAUCAUAAAACUUCAUCUGCUGUCAGAGGUGUACCCACAAAAAAGCAAAGAGUAUGUGACUAAAGAGUGAUUAUGAGCUCAAAGGUGCAGCACUGCAGUGGAGCUCAGAGGAGAUGACAUUUACUGAGAAGGAACCACACGCUAAGCAUCCUGUUUCAUUGUCCCAACAGCACACAGAGGUGGAUACUGCUGGUAACCAGUUCUUUUACAGAAGAGUAAACCAGAGUUCUGUGAGAACUUCAAUUUCAGGUGAUAAAGCACAACUCAAACUGAUGUUAAUGAAAGGCAGGAAGACCAGCAAGGAGAGUACCAGUCCCAGGCACCAGAGAUCACCUGGCUCCAACAGGUCUGAGGCCCAGGCCUCAUUUUGCUCAGACUUUUGGACUCUACUCACUUCCACACUGCCUGCAUUUUCAAAACGGCUUUUGUUGUGUGGUGCUCCCCAACCCUUCACCUGGAAACUCCACAUUUACAGCCAGCCAGAGGCGGGUCAGGUGUUCCUCACUGCUGUGUCCCCCACAAUCCUCAUUGUGG